CACGUAGAGGCAGGGCCAGCGCUGCACGCAGGCUGACGGGGGGUGGGGACAAGCACCACAUCAUGGGCCUGAGGUUGCCUUGGGGUGCGCAGCCAGCACACUCCCACAGCGUCCCAGGAUGCCUCUCUCCAGCUCCCAGACGCGGGGCCCCCACCUCCUCCCUCACCCAGCUCCAUCUGGCCGACAUGGGGGGCUCAGGGCCUCCCUCCACAGCCGGAUCCAACAUGCGACAAUGGCUUGCAGAGGAAAGGCCUCCUGGCCCCCAGCCCCGGUGCUGGCGCUCUCAGCUGCCCCACUCCCCACCUCGCCCAGGCAGUCUCCACCCUGCACAGCCCAGCAAGCUCUAUGGACAACGACAUUUCUCCAGUGCCAUGUCCUGAAGAUGGAAGGGAGGAUCUCAGGAGCUGACACCCGCACUCUUGCACGUUCGAUCCAAGCUAGCUGGAGAAACGGAAGCUCAGAGAGGACUUAGGACUUGCUCCAGGUCACAGGAGAAUUUGAAGCUGGGUCUGUCUGAGCCCCAGCCCUGGCUCACCUUGCUAUCCUCAGGCUCCGAGAAAGUGUCGGUUUCCUCCUCGGUGGGCAUCUCCAGGUCGGACUCCUCAGAGGCGAUGGGCACGUGUAUGGUCAGGUCCUCCUCGGGCGGCUCCUUCUUCUCAUCCAUGGGGGCAGUCUCCCCGGCCUUUCCAGCCUCCCCAGCCCCGACAGGCUCCCCGAGGCUAAGCAUGAUGUCCUUGGGGC
This is a non-coding RNA of Chlorocebus sabaeus (green monkey), 741 nucleotides long. Lineage: Eukaryota; Metazoa; Chordata; Mammalia; Primates; Cercopithecidae. The record is from RefSeq and is a predicted model, not a curated record.